UACGUAGGGUCCGAGCGUUGUCCGGAAUUAUUGGGCGUAAAGGGCUCGUAGGCGGUUUGUCGCGUCUGCUGUGAAAACUCACAGCUCAACUGUGAGCCUGCAGGCGAUACGGGCAGACUUGAGUACUGCAGGGGAGACUGGAAUUCCUGGUGUAGCGGUGAAAUGCGCAGAUAUCAGGAGGAACACCGGUGGCGAAGGCGGGUCUCUGGGCAGUAACUGACGCUGAGGAACGAAAGCGUGGGUGCGAACAGG
This 252-nucleotide ribosomal RNA is filed under the name uncultured bacterium. RNAcentral's name for it is "partial 16S ribosomal RNA". It matches the Rfam family "Bacterial small subunit ribosomal RNA", at positions 524 to 776 of the family's 1533-position model. The record is from RNAcentral.